RNAcentral lists this transfer RNA (74 nucleotides) under Acidobacteriota bacterium. RNAcentral describes it as "Acidobacteria bacterium (activated sludge metagenome) tRNA-Gly". It matches the Rfam family "tRNA". From Rfam's summary of the family: Transfer RNA (tRNA) molecules are approximately 80 nucleotides in length. Their secondary structure includes four short double-helical elements and three loops (D, anti-codon, and T loops). Further hydrogen bonds mediate the characteristic L-shaped molecular structure. tRNAs have two regions of fundamental functional importance: the anti-codon, which is responsible for specific mRNA codon recognition, and the 3' end, to which the tRNAs corresponding amino acid is attached (by aminoacyl-tRNA synthetases). tRNAs cope with the degeneracy of the genetic code in two manners: having more than one tRNA (with a specific anti-codon) for a particular amino acid; and 'wobble' base-pairing, i.e. permitting non-standard base-pairing at the 3rd anti-codon position. Lineage: Bacteria; Pseudomonadati; Acidobacteriota. The record is from RNAcentral.
GUCUGCGAAGCGCAACCGGCUGGCGCACCAGUCUUCCAAACUGGAGAGAGUGGGUUCGAGUCCCAUCGCAGACU